RNAcentral lists this ribosomal RNA (465 nucleotides) under Vreelandella stevensii. RNAcentral's name for it is "partial 16S ribosomal RNA". It matches the Rfam family "Bacterial small subunit ribosomal RNA", at positions 338 to 795 of the family's 1533-position model. The record is from RNAcentral. Lineage: Bacteria; Pseudomonadati; Pseudomonadota; Gammaproteobacteria; Oceanospirillales; Halomonadaceae.
CCUACGGGGGGCUGCAGUGGGGAAUAUUGGACAAUGGGCGAAAGCCUGAUCCAGCCAUGCCGCGUGUGUGAAGAAGGCCUUCGGGUUGUAAAGCACUUUCAGUGGGGAAGAAAGCCUUGGGGCUAAUACCCUCGAGGAAGGACAUCACCCACAGAAGAAGCACCGGCUAACUCCGUGCCAGCAGCCGCGGUAAUACGGAGGGUGCGAGCGUUAAUCGGAAUUACUGGGCGUAAAGCGCGCGUAGGCGGUCUGAUAAGCCGGUUGUGAAAGCCCCGGGCUCAACCUGGGAACGGCAUCCGGAACUGGCAGGCUAGAGUGCAGGAGAGGAAGGUAGAAUUCCCGGUGUAGCGGUGAAAUGCGUAGAGAUCGGGAGGAAUACCAGUGGCGAAGGCGGCCUUCUGGACUGACACUGACGCUGAGGUGCGAAAGCGUGGGUAGCAAACAGGAUUAGAUACCCCAGUAGUC